GCCACUGGGCCCAGAGAGCCCAGAGCCUGCAGACGCCCGCCCCCGCCGCCCCCGCCCAGCCAAUCGGAGAGGACAGGGCUGCGCGUCCGUGCGCGCGACCGUUGUCCCCGCGGCGGGGUUUCCCUGCCCCACCCCCACUCCUGAGCCCGGCCCGCGGGGAACGGGGUUCUGGGGCCGCCGGGACGGCGACAGGGGCGCCUCCCGCCGUGCGCCUGGACGGCCGGCCUGCCUCCCCCGCCCCAGUCUUCCCACUGGCCACCCCGCGAGCGUAGAAAGUUCCAGGAGAAGCACCCGCUCUUAAUGGCGGCCGCAGCGGGGGCCGGUUUUAAGAAAUAUUACAGAGACACAACCGAAGGCACUGUUCUUGUUCCCUUCUCUUCCCCACAGAGAGCCAGAUGUGGGGCUCAGCCUCAUGAGUCAGGAGACUGUGACCUGAGCCGAAAUCAAGAGUCGGAUGCUUAACCAAAUGAGCCACCCGGGCACCCCCCAUCCUAAUCAUUUUUCAAGUUACAGUUCAGUGGUAUUAAAUGCCUUCAUAAUGUGCAAUCGCCACCAUCUAUCUCUGUCAUUCUUGUCCUCUUGUGAAACUGACGCUCCAUCCAUAUCCAUUCAGUAGGAUUCCUCAUUCUCCCUCUGCCCAACUAUCAUUCCACUUUCUGUCUGUGACUUUGCCUACUAAAGUGCCUUAUAAGUGCAGUCACACAGCAUUUGCCUUUUUAGAGCCAGCUUAUUCCUGUAAGUGUAUUUCGUAUAUGCCUGUUAAGUCUAGGUGGUUUAUUGUCUUAUGUGAUGCCUCCAUUUCCUUAUUUAUCCCCGUCUGCCUGGUUGCCCGAUCCGUUGUUAUGAAUGGGAGUACUGAAGUCUCUAAUUAUUAUCACAGAGCCGUCUGUUUCUCCCUGCAAGUCUGUCAGGUUUUGCUUCAUAUAUUUUGAUGGUGUAUCAUUAGGUGGGUGAAUGUUUAUUGUAUCUUGCUAUAUUUUGUUAAUAUGUAACGUCCUUCCUUGUCUCUUGGAAUUGUUUUCAAGUCUAUUUGGUGUGAUAUCAGUAUAGCCAUUCCUGAUCUUUUGUUACCAUUUGUAUGGAGUAUCUUUUUCCAUUUUUUUCACUUUCUUUUUAGUUUUUAUUUUUUCAAGU
This is a long non-coding RNA of Herpailurus yagouaroundi (jaguarundi), 1134 nucleotides long. RefSeq lists it as uncharacterized. The transcript has 3 exons. The record is from RefSeq and is a predicted model, not a curated record. NCBI's taxonomy places the organism in Eukaryota, Metazoa, Chordata, Mammalia, Carnivora, Felidae.